GUAAAUAUAUCAAGUACGUAUAGAAAGUAAUGGUAGAAUUACGUUCCGUUUUCCAUAAAAUAUGCUACAUGGGGAGCACAGGAUAUUAGAAUUUUGAACGGAGUGAUCGUGAUUGCUCGACCCCUACCACAUCGUUAUUCCGAUUCCAUGGACUUCUAUUUCGUUUUCCAUGUACGAAACGGCUUCCUAAAAGUAAAAUAGGGAAGGCCCAAUUUAUCUGGUAGAUGUGUGAGACACAUGAAAUGACUUAAAUGUGACUUAACUCCUUAAAGCAAAAAUGAUUUGACAGAUUAAUGUCUGUUGCCUCCUGCGUUAAUCGAAGCUUAAACUCUUGUUACCCUAUCUUAAAACUAUAUUUAAAAACUUGAACCAGGCUUAAACCACACGCCGUGUAUAAGGUAGAAGAACAAGAAUACAUAACAAUCCCAUGCUAAGUAAACAUACUGAUUUUCAAUUAUGACAAGAAAAUUUCAAAAAUUGUUAGAAGUAAUAUUGAAAACAGUCAACAAGUCACAUGUAACAUAUAUGAGUAGUUCUAUAAUAAAAAAUGCUCGGACGGUGUUAAGUAAUACAAAAACUCUGGCAUCUGUAAAAUGUGAUAACAUAGUGAAGGUUCUUUCAUAAGAGCAUAUUAAUAAUAGCACAUUAUUACAAGAAAUACAUGCUGCUUCCUUGGAGUCUACCAAGCCAAUACCAUAUCAGCUAGGUAAUUGGUGGCAAUGGUACCAACACUUGACAGGCUUAGAUGUGGUACAAACAGCAAAACAUAGAGUCAACCAAGUACAAGAUAUUUUGUUUAAGUGUCAAGAAGAACGGAGAAAACUUACUCGUGAGGUGGCCCAUAUCAAUAAAAGUUUGAGGGAUAUUUAUGAAGAGUUGGUUCAAACCUGGCGUGAGGACCCAAAAUAUAUGGACCUCACUAUCUUAGAUAAUAAACAUUUAAAGGCCAAACUUGCAAUUAGUAGUCAUCUGGUUCUCCUUGAGAAUGAAGAAAGAGACCUCAUCACGCAACUGGCAAUAGCUAUUAAAGACUACCAAGUCUUAGACAAGAAAGACUAUAAAUGCACAAAAAUAUAAGUAUCUAUCAAUCAUUAGCUCGGCAGUACUAGCUAUAAUAUCUAUAAUUGGUGCCACAGUAUAUAAUAACAUUACAAUGAAAUUGAGUGCGACAACUGAAUAAAAUUUAAAAGAUAACUCAAGCAGAAAACAUCUAGAAAUACUGUCACGAUUACCUCAAAAAAGAGAAGCCUCAGAUUCUGGUACUGAAGAAAAUUCUGGGUAUGGUGUUAUGAAAGCACUUAGUUAUGUUGGAUGGGGAAUAGGAUCCUGAUUCUUUUGGAAAAAAUAUUGGUUGAUAAAUUAAAGAUGGACUAGAUGGCAUAUAUUGAAAGUUUUACAAUACUAUUGUAAAUAUACUAUAUCUGCUGUCAUUUCUUACCCAAUUAUGAUACUAUAAUAUUUUUAAAGUGUAUAAUUAACUUAUAAAAGAGAUAAAGACUUACUCAAUUGUAUAUACUGAAAAUAUUGUUCUUAUUUAAAAAAUAAAAGUGAGACUGAACUGUAAAA
Cephus cinctus (wheat stem sawfly) is the source of this 1566-nucleotide RNA transcript. RefSeq lists it as uncharacterized. Lineage: Eukaryota; Metazoa; Arthropoda; Insecta; Hymenoptera; Cephidae. The transcript has 2 exons. The record is from RefSeq and is a predicted model, not a curated record.